RNAcentral lists this ribosomal RNA (206 nucleotides) under uncultured bacterium. RNAcentral describes it as "partial 16S ribosomal RNA". It matches the Rfam family "Bacterial small subunit ribosomal RNA", at positions 568 to 774 of the family's 1533-position model. The record is from RNAcentral.
UGCGUAGGUGGUUACAUAAGUAACAGGUGAAAGUCCCGAGCUUAACUUGGGGAUUGCCUGUUAAACUGUGUAGCUAGAGUGUUGUAGAGGAGAGCGGAAUUUCCGGUGUAGCGGUGAAAUGCGUAGAUAUCGGAAGGAACAUCAGUGGCGAAGGCGGCUCUCUGGACAACAACUGACACUGAGGCACGAAAGCGUGGGAGCAAACA